This 401-nucleotide long non-coding RNA is filed under the name Monodelphis domestica (gray short-tailed opossum). Its description in RNAcentral is "lncRNA (ENSMODG00000038199.1)". The record is from RNAcentral. Lineage: Eukaryota; Metazoa; Chordata; Mammalia; Didelphimorphia; Didelphidae.
GAUCAUAAAACCAAGUUUUAAGUUUCUUUCAACAUCUUUAUUGAAAAAUAGUUCAAAAAGUUAAGCCUGUGGGUUGUUUUGGUUUUUGUGUCUUUUGGGAGUUUUUUGUGGAUCUGUUGUCCCACUCUGCCUGACCCCAUUUGGGGUUUUCUUGGCAAAGAUCCUGAAGUGGUUUCCCAUUUCCUUCUCCAAUUCAUUUUACAGAUGAGGAAACUGAAGCAAACAGGAGUAAAUGACUUACACAGGAUCACCACCAAACCAUAUUAUUUCAUCAUAUUCAUUUACCAUGACUUCAGCCAUUCCUCAACUGCUGGGCAUCCUCUUACUUUUUAGGUUUUGCCACUACAAAAAAGAGCUGGUAUAAAUAUAUAUUUUUUUGCCUAAAGUAAGUGCCUUUUCCU